AUUGUAUAGACUAUAGACAUAAUUGAAUUUUCUUGCAUUUCUUCUCGUCGUGCGUAAGUCACACCGCAUUUGUAGCCGACUUUAGGGUUUCUGCUCCAGUGCUCCGCCCCUACGCGUUGCUCUUCACUGUGAUAAGCUUUCCUCCGCCACACCGCCCUCCGCCUCUACUUCCACGGUUCGCCAUUGCUGCUCAGUUGUGAUGGAAUUUCUGUUUGAUGCUUGCAGUACUUGUUUCAGCGCCGCUUUAUUAAUUGGAGACCACACAUUUUCUAUGGAUUGUGUUGAUUUCUAUUGUCUUUUUGAGGAUUCGGAUGGGAGGACCAUUGAUUCGCCUGCUGCUUCAGAAUUUGACUUUGUCAUUGUGGGUUCUAAUGUUGUCAAUGGGGAUAUGUGGAUUAGGAAAAGCAUACCACAAGUGUCCACAACAACCAGGAGGUUCUGAAUGUGGAUAUUACGUUAAGCAAUCAAGGCUUUUGUCUAGAAGAGGGUUGACACUGAACCCACCUAAUAUCACUCCCCGUGUCAAUCGUCAAAUAUUGUGCCGGAGUCCUCACCCCAAUCCUCAAUCCUCACUACGUAUUCUACAAGCUCGAGAUCCCAACCGGAAACAACCUCCGCCCCUAACUCCCCCACCUCAUACUCGGUGCCGCUAGUUCUCCGAAUGAGGUCGGCGACUCUGUGUGCGUCUCUUUUCAUUCGGGAUUCGAAUCGGCGGCCGAAGUCGGUAAAAUUGGAAAAGGGCAAUUCAUCUCUGUGGAGGAGGUUGAGCUUCCAACUACUUGAAUUAUAAUACUUUAAUUAAAGCAUUCAAGGCUUGAUUGUCUAGAAGAGGUGUUCGAACAGGCAACCCACUCCAUAAAUAAAAUAGAUGAAAUCUGAGAAUUGUGGGCAAAAUACUUUGUAGAUGAGUGCGUGUAACUUUAUUUGGUUUAAACAUUAUCUUUAUUAUUAUUAACUUAAUGUUUAUGUUUUGUUAAAGAAUUGUAUCUUGAUUUCAAUUAUAAAUGUGUUAUUGUUAUUAUUGUGUAGUGUCCACAACAACCGUGAGGUUCUGAAUGUGGAUACUAGCGAUACAUGUGGGAGAUUGUUACUAAGCAUUCAAGGCUUGAUUGUCUAGAAGAGGUAUUCAAACAGGCAACCUACUCCAUAAAUGAAAUAGAUGAAAUCCGAGAGUUCUGGGCAAAAUACUUUGUAGAUGUGCGUGCAACUUUAUUUGUGGUUUAAAUAUUAUCUUUAUUAUUAUUAACUUAUGUUUAUGUUUUGUUAUAGAAUUGUAUCUUUGAUUUCAAUUAUAAAUGUGUUGAUUGUUA
This is a long non-coding RNA of Ipomoea nil (Japanese morning glory), 1310 nucleotides long. RefSeq lists it as uncharacterized. The transcript has 6 exons. Lineage: Eukaryota; Viridiplantae; Streptophyta; Magnoliopsida; Solanales; Convolvulaceae. The record is from RefSeq and is a predicted model, not a curated record.